This 465-nucleotide ribosomal RNA is filed under the name uncultured bacterium. Its description in RNAcentral is "partial 16S ribosomal RNA". It matches the Rfam family "Bacterial small subunit ribosomal RNA", at positions 338 to 795 of the family's 1533-position model. The record is from RNAcentral.
CCUACGGGAGGCAGCAGUAGGGAAUGUUCGUCAAUGGGCGCAAGCCUGAACGAGCGAUGCCGCGUGAGUGAAGAAGGCCUUCGGGUCGUAAAGCUCUGUUGCGGGGGAAAAAAGGAAGCAUCAGGAAAUGGGUGCUGACUGAUGGUGCCCCGCCAGAAAGUCACGGCUAACUACGUGCCAGCAGCCGCGGUAAUACGUAGGUGGCGAGCGUUAUCCGGAAUGAUUGGGCGUAAAGGGGGGGAAGGCGGUCCUGCAAGUCUGGAGUGAAGCGCAUGAGCCCAACUCAUGCCUGGCUUUGGAAACUGGAGGACUGGAGUGCGGGAGAGGUCGGUGGAACUCCAUGUGUAGCGGUGAAAUGCGUAGAUAUAUGGAAGAACACCAGUGGCGAAGGCGGCCGCCUGGCCUGUUGCUGACGCUGAGGCACGAAAGCGUGGGGAGCAAAUAGGAUUAGAUACCCGUGUAGUC